Molecule: long non-coding RNA, 1446 nt
Organism: Arachis ipaensis
Lineage: Eukaryota; Viridiplantae; Streptophyta; Magnoliopsida; Fabales; Fabaceae
Source: RefSeq, a predicted model, not a curated record
CUGAGAUCUAUAUGGUGACCCCAUGGUAGUGUUUUGGCUAAAGGGGUACACAUGAUUCAUUACUCAUGCAACGACUUGUGUUCCCUGAUGGCACUGUCCUUAGAUGCAGCCAAGAAAAAUCCCACAAGUUUAGAAAGCACACUCAUCAUUCUUAAGAGGGUGUAUCAUAUACUAAAACACAUAUAAAUUAUGAUUUUUGGUGAAAACGGGAGAUAAAUAUAUUUUUUCGUGUUCUCCUAACCCCGAUUAAACCAUGCUUAGCUCGAGAGUCCAUGCAAACACUUCCCACUUCCAACAAGAGAUUAUCUCAUCAAUAACCCUCUAUUUGACCACAAAACUCUCCUCAAAAUUUGGAACUUCAAUAAGAACUCACCGCCACUAUCAUAAUCCUUAUUACUCUCACCACCAAACCCUUCAUAGUUCAGCCCCUCCAUCCGUUGCUGUCGGCCCUAGUUUUCUUCUCCACGUUGUGCUCGGAGCGGUGGCGUUGCAGUACCCAUCGUCAUCCCCAAGCCAGCAUCCGUUGUCGUUGUCGUUGGCCGCAAGAAGACGUCUCUGUCCCCACGGCGAGCCCUUGUCUUCGAGCCCUUCUCUCUCUAUCUGAGGCCCCGUCCUUCCUUUCUCACCGUCAAUACCAUUUCUUCCGCUGCUGUAUAUUAAGAUGCCCAUGAUAAGUCGUUGCGUGAAGAUAUCCAAGUUGGACACAUCAUGUUAGCAACCUCAAGUAGGAUCUGCUACGGCUUCAUCCUGGACUUCCCAAUUCCCCCGUCCAGUGGUGGUAGUGCCCCCGCAGCCUCAUCUUUACGCCCCUUUCAUCUGCCCCAUAGCGAACCAUUGCUUGCUCCACAGACUUGUAUGAAUGGUGUUCAAAACUCGUAGCCGGGCGAUGAAAACUUAGACCCAGAGGCAGGUGAGGUAGAGUCUUUUGAGCAACACGUUGACAACCUGUUUGCUGCAUCUGAGACUCAAAAGCGCAAGGGACGCAAGACCACUGAAUUUUGGGAUGUUAAAACAAUUGAAUCCGAUGGAACAAUCAAACAACUUCGUUUGAGUGUGAAGGAAGCUAUGAGCCACCUAACGGUAGAAAGAUCGUACUCAGGUUCAACUGAAACCUGCAACCAGUUGGAGAUGAAACUGGUAUACUAAGCAGCGUUUUCGGAUUGCUAAGAUCUAGCUACACCAAAUUCCCAAUCUACGAUGUCUAAUUCAAGGGCAAGGUGGGGAGCUUCCACCAGACGUCACUGCAUAGAUGAAUUCAUUGGAGGGACAGAGUGAAAAGUGGAUCCUAGGAUUAGAAAUUGCUUUAUAGUUUUGCUAAUGCCUUUUAUCCAUCAAUUUAUUUUUUAAGAUACAAAAUAAUUAAGAUUUGUAAUAUUAAAAAAAUAUAAAAAAAAAAAAAAAAACAAAAGAAAAAAAAUAAUACCUAAUACAUUCAAACUAAAAAAA